RNAcentral lists this ribosomal RNA (468 nucleotides) under uncultured bacterium. RNAcentral's name for it is "partial 16S ribosomal RNA". It matches the Rfam family "Bacterial small subunit ribosomal RNA", at positions 28 to 507 of the family's 1533-position model. The record is from RNAcentral.
GACGAACGCUGGCGGCGUGCUUAACACAUGCCAGUCGAACGGAAAGGCCCUGCUUUUGUGGGGUGCUCGAGUGGCGAACGGGUGAGUAACACGUGAGUAACCUGCCCUUGACUUUGGGAUAACUUCAGGAAACUGGGGCCAAUACCGGAUAGGAGCUCCUGCUGCAUGGUGGGGGUUGGAAAGUUUCGGCGGUUGGGGAUGGACUCGCGGCUUAUCAGCUUGUUGGUGGGGUAGUGGCUUACCAAGGCUUUGACGGGUAGCCGGCCUGAGAGGGUGACCGGCCACAUUGGGACUGAGAUACGGACCAGACUCCUACGGGAGGCAGCAGUGGGGAAUAUUGCACAAUGGGCGGAAGCCUGAUGCAGCAACGCCGCGUGCGGGAUGACGGCCUUCGGGUUGUAAACCGCUUUCGCCUGUGACGAAGCGUGAGUGACGGUAAUGGGUAAAGAAGCACCGGCUAACUACGUG